AGAAUCAACGCUGGCGGCGUGCCUAACACAUGCAAGUCGCACGAGAAAGGGACUUCGGUCCCGAGUACAGUGGCGCACGGGUGAGUAACACGUGAAUAAUCUACCUCCGAGUGGGGAAUAACUGAGAGAAAUCUUAGCUAAUACCGCAUAACACUUACGAGUCAAAGCAGCAAUGCGCUUGGAGAGGAGUUCGCGGCAGAUUAGUUAGUUGGCGGGGUAAUGGCCCACCAAGACGAUGAUCUGUAUCCGGCCUGAGAGGGCGCACGGACACACUGGAACUGAAACACGGUCCAGACUCCUACGGGAGGCAGCAGUGGGGAAUUUUGCGCAAUGGGGGAAACCCUGACGCAGCAACGCCGCGUGGAGGAUGAAAUAUCUUGGUAUGUAAACUCCUUUCGAUGGGGAAGAUAGUGACGGUACCCAUAGAAGAAGCCCGGCUAACUUCGUGCCAGCAGCCGC
RNAcentral lists this ribosomal RNA (459 nucleotides) under uncultured bacterium. Its description in RNAcentral is "SSU rRNA". It matches the Rfam family "Bacterial small subunit ribosomal RNA", at positions 26 to 518 of the family's 1533-position model. The record is from RNAcentral.